This 439-nucleotide ribosomal RNA is filed under the name uncultured bacterium. RNAcentral's name for it is "partial 16S ribosomal RNA". It matches the Rfam family "Bacterial small subunit ribosomal RNA", at positions 339 to 795 of the family's 1533-position model. The record is from RNAcentral.
CUACGGGUUGCUCCAGUGAGGAAUAUUGCACAAUGGAGGAAACUCUGAUGCAGCAACGCCGCGUGGAGGAUGACGCAUUUCGGUGUGUAAACUCCUUUUAUAUGUCAAGAAAAUGACGGUAGCAUAUGAAUAAGCACCGGCUAACUCCGUGCCAGCAGCCGCGGUAAUACGGAGGGUGCAAGCGUUACUCGGAAUCACGGGGCGUACAGGACGCGUAGGCGGGAUAUCAAGUCAGGUGUGAAAUCCUACAGCUUAACUGUAGAACUGCACUUGAAACUGGUAACCUAGAGUAUGGGAGGGGGAGAUGGAAUUAGUGGUGUAGGGGUAAAAUCCGUAGAUAUCACUAGGAAUACCUAAAGCGAAGGCGAUCUCCUGGAACAUAACUGACGCUAAGGCGUGAAAGCGUGGGGAGCAAACAGGAUUAGAUACCCUCGUAGUC